GGGAGGAAAAGAAACUAACAAGGAUUUUCUUAGUAGCGGCGAGCGAAAAGAAAAUAGUUCAGCACUAAGUCACUUUGUCUUUAUGGCAAAUGUGAGAUGCAGUGUAUGGAAUGUCAAAUUUCUAAUAUGAGAAAUUAACGAUUUAAGUCCUUCUUAAAUGAGGCCAUUUACCCAAAGAGGGUGCCAGGCCCGUAUAACGUUAAUGAUUAUUAGAUGGCAUUUCCAAAGAGUCGUGUUGCUUGAUAGUGCAGCACUAAGUGGGUGGUAAACUCCAUCUAAAACUAAAUAUAACCAUGAGACCGAUAGUAAACAAGUACCGUGAGGGAAAGUUGAAAAGAACUCUGAAUAGAGAGUUAAAUAGUACGUGAAACUGCUUAGAGGUUAAGCCCGAUGAACCUGAAUAUCCAUUAUGGAAAAUUCAUCAUUAUGAUUUUAAUAUUUAUAAUAUUAUAAUAAUGGUGUGCAUUUUUUCUAUAAAGGACAUUGUAAUCUAUUAAUAUAAAUUAAUUUAUCAUAAGAUCAUUUGCGUAAGUUUAUUCAAAUUAUUUUGCUUGCAUUUUAAUAUCGAAUAAAUGCUUUUGAUUUGAUAAAGUGUUGAUAGAUUUAUUAUAUACAGUGCUUAAAUAUUUAUAUUUUAUAAUAGCAUAUUAAUCAAUGAUUUUUAUGUUCAUUAUAUGCACUUGUAUGAUUAACAAUGCGAAAGAUUCAGGAUACCUUCGGGACCCGUCUUGAAACACGGACCAAGGAGUCUAACAUAUUUGCAAGUUAUUGGGAAUAAAAACCUAAUAGCGAAAUUAACAUAACUUUAUUUAAUGGGAUUAGUUUUUAGCCUAUUUAUAGUCUAUUAAUUCAAUCCCGGGGCGUUCUAUACAGUUAUGUAUAAUAAUAUUUAUAUUAUUUAUACCUCUAACUAGAGCGUACCUUGAGCAUAUAUGCUGUGACCCGAAAGAUGGUGAACUAUACUUGAUCAGGUUGAAGUCAGGGGAAACCCUGAUGGAAGACCGAAACAG
This 1010-nucleotide ribosomal RNA is filed under the name Hemipyrellia ligurriens. RNAcentral describes it as "eukaryotic LSU rRNA". It matches the Rfam family "Eukaryotic large subunit ribosomal RNA", at positions 51 to 883 of the family's 3401-position model. Lineage: Eukaryota; Metazoa; Arthropoda; Insecta; Diptera; Calliphoridae. The record is from RNAcentral.